This 689-nucleotide ribosomal RNA is filed under the name uncultured delta proteobacterium. RNAcentral's name for it is "bacterial SSU rRNA". It matches the Rfam family "Bacterial small subunit ribosomal RNA", at positions 145 to 811 of the family's 1533-position model. The record is from RNAcentral. Lineage: Bacteria; Deltaproteobacteria.
AACCUACCGAAAGGUGGACUAAUCCCGCAUACGACCAACAUACAUAUGUAUAUUGGGGAAAGAUGGCCUCUUCUUGAAAGCUAUCGCUAUUGGAUGGGCCCGCGUUGGAUUAGCUAGUUGGUAGGGUAAUGGCCUACCAAGGCUACGAUCCAUAACUGGUUUGAGAGGACGACCAGUCACACUGGAACUGAGACACGGUCCAGACUCCUACGGGAGGCAGCAGUGAGGAAUAUUGCGCAAUGGGGGAAACCCUGACGCAGCGACGCCGCGUGAGUGAUGAAGGCCUUCGGGUUGUAAAGCUCUGUCAGAGGGGAAGAAAGGAGAAGUAGCUAAUAUCUGCUUCUAUUGACGGUACCCUUGGAGGAAGCACCGGCUAACUCCGUGCCAGCAGCCGCGGUAAUACGGAGGGUGCAAGUGUUAUUCGGAUUUACUGGGCGUAAAGAGCACGUAGGCGGAUAGGUCAGUCAGAUGUGAAAGCCCGGAGCUUAACUCCGGAACUGCAUUUGAUACUACUUGUCUUGAGUAUGGUAGAGGGGGGGUGGAAUUCCCGGUGUAGAGGUGAAAUUCGUAGAUAUCGGGAGGAACACCAGAGGCGAAGGCGACCCCCUGGGCCAUAACUGACGCUGAGGUGCGAAAGCGUGGGGAGCAAACAGGGUUAGAUACCCUGGUAGUCCACGCUGUAAACGAUG